RNAcentral lists this ribosomal RNA (433 nucleotides) under uncultured bacterium. RNAcentral's name for it is "partial 16S ribosomal RNA". It matches the Rfam family "Bacterial small subunit ribosomal RNA", at positions 29 to 507 of the family's 1533-position model. The record is from RNAcentral.
AACGAACGCUGGCGGCAUGCCUAACACAUGCAAGUCGAACGAGACCUUCGGGUCUAGUGGCGCACGGGUGCGUAACGCAUGGGAACCUGCCCUUAGGUUCGGCAUAACUCCCCGAAAGGGGUGCUAAUACCGGAUAAUGUCUUCUGACCAAUGGUUUAUCGCCUUUGGAUGGGCCCGCGUUGGAUUAGUUAGGUGGUAGGGUAAAAGCCUACCAAGGCGACGAUCCAUAGCUGGUCUGAGAGGAUGAUCAGCCACACUGGGACUGAGACACGGCCCAGACUCCUACGGGAGGCAGCAGUAGUGAAUAUUGGACAAUGGGCGAAAGCCUGAUCCAGCAGUGCCGCGUGAGUGAUGAAGGCCUUAGGGUUGUAAAGCUCUGUUACCCGGGAUGAUAAUGACAGUACCGGGAGAAUAAGCUCCGGCUAACUCCGUG